CUCUCCACAGAUGAACAGCUUUAGUUUAGUCUGUCUCCUUCUGUGCACGGGAGUGGCUUCCUUCAGAUUUGAGGAGUUGACACAAUAUGUGAACAGCCAUGAAGAGGAAUUUAUCGAGGAUCCACAGCACUAGCACGUUGAGCAUCAGCGUCACAGUCACCUGUGUCUCGUAGUGUUUGCCGUGGAGCCGGAUCUGAUCCGUGAGCGACGUCACAGGCAAGAGCAUCAUCACGCUGCCCAGCGGAGGCUCCGACGACGGCCUGCAUUCACAGAACGAGAAGAUCAGCAGAUACAGCUACAUGGAGCGAACCAAGCUGUUCAACGCCUUCCUGCAAGAAGUGUCUCAGAUCGAGAAGCACUCAUAUAAACACAUCUCUUCAUUACUAAUGCCAACAAAACCAAUUAAACAAGAGUUUUGCAUGUUUUUAUCAGUGUGAGUGAAAUAUGAACAAACCUCCAGAAUAUAGAGAGGCAUUCUGUUGUACUGUAUGUAA
Cyprinus carpio (common carp) is the source of this 494-nucleotide long non-coding RNA. RefSeq lists it as uncharacterized. The record is from RefSeq and is a predicted model, not a curated record. NCBI's taxonomy places the organism in Eukaryota, Metazoa, Chordata, Actinopteri, Cypriniformes, Cyprinidae. The transcript is spliced from 3 exons.